This 110-nucleotide microRNA precursor is filed under the name Macaca mulatta (Rhesus monkey). Its description in RNAcentral is "microRNA mml-mir-4650 precursor". The stretch from base 6 to 102 matches the Rfam family "mir-4650 microRNA precursor family". Lineage: Eukaryota; Metazoa; Chordata; Mammalia; Primates; Cercopithecidae. The record is from miRBase by way of RNAcentral.
UUUUCCUGCAGAUAUUGUCAGGCCUCAUUCUACCUUCCAAGUCUCAGAGCCUUGGAAGGUAGAAUGAUUGGAAGGUAGAAUGAGGCCUGAUAAUCUCUACAGAAAGGCAA